AUAAGAAAUGGAUUAGUAGUACUGGUAGAGCUACUGCUACUAGUAAACACACUAAUACAAGAAGACUUGCUCCUUCAAUCAGUAAACAAUCUACAGCUCAAUUAUAGUCACUUGAUAUCACUGAUCUUCAAAAAGUGUUGAAUUUGCUGCAGAUGCUCAUUUCAACGUAGACUGGGAGGGACUGGGUCUGUAUAAAACUAGGACUCUAUCAGCACCCAACACUCUCCAACUUACAACAUACUCAUGAUAGGGGGCUGCCCAUAGGGAGUGUCUUGCUGUCUGGUUACAAAGAGCUGAUGGUGUGGAUCAUAGUAAAAAUGGAGGAGCUAACUAUGUAUCACUAGCUAAUGCUGUAGAGAGAUUGGGACAAAGAGCUGCAGCUGAUGACAUACGAAUUUAUUUUUAUUAAGAGACUGGAGGGAGAACUCCAAUGACUCCAUUACCAGUUCAAGAAGACAGUUACAUUGCAGAAAAA
This is a long non-coding RNA of Amphimedon queenslandica, 475 nucleotides long. RefSeq lists it as uncharacterized. The transcript has 3 exons. The record is from RefSeq and is a predicted model, not a curated record. Lineage: Eukaryota; Metazoa; Porifera; Demospongiae; Haplosclerida; Niphatidae.